GCCCCUGUAGCACAAAGGAUAGUAUACGUUGAACUUCUAAUCCAAAGGUCGUGGGUUCCAAUCCCACCUGGGAUG
Molecule: non-coding RNA, 75 nt
Organism: Trichonephila clavipes
Lineage: Eukaryota; Metazoa; Arthropoda; Arachnida; Araneae; Nephilidae
Source: the annotation of a GenBank genome assembly